CAGUCGUACCGGCGGAUAAUCAGCCUUUCGGGUGCGAUUCUGUGGGGCGUGAGGAGCUUAACCGCCUUCAUGUUUUGCAUAUUCGUGCACAUUUGGUGUACUUGUCCGUGUGGUGGGUUAACAUCAAUUUCGGUCGUCAUAAAAUGAUUGGAGGAAUGUAGCUUUGAUCUCGUAUCGAAGUGUUAUAGACUCUGGUAGAUGUGACGGUUGGGAUUGGAGUUCGCAGCACGCCUUUUGGCUGGGGUUUACCCACGUAUUCGUGCUUAGGAUGCUGGCGUAAUGG
This 283-nucleotide ribosomal RNA is filed under the name Rhizophagus intraradices. Lineage: Eukaryota; Fungi; Glomeromycota; Glomeromycetes; Glomerales; Glomeraceae. The record is from RNAcentral.